This 253-nucleotide ribosomal RNA is filed under the name uncultured bacterium. RNAcentral's name for it is "partial 16S ribosomal RNA". It matches the Rfam family "Bacterial small subunit ribosomal RNA", at positions 524 to 776 of the family's 1533-position model. The record is from RNAcentral.
UACGUAGGGGGCAAGCGUUGUCCGGAAUCAUUGGGCGUAAAGAGCGUGUAGGCGGCCGGACAAGUCCGCUGUGAAAACUCGAGGCUCAACUUCGAGCUGUCGGUGGAAACUUUCUGGCUAGAGUCCGGAAGAGGAGAAUGGAAUUCCUGGUGUAGCGGUGAAAUGCGCAGAUAUCAGGAAGAACACCCGUGGCGAAGGCGGUUCUCUGGGACGGUACUGACGCUGAGACGCGAAAGCGUGGGGAGCGAACCGG